RNAcentral lists this ribosomal RNA (468 nucleotides) under uncultured bacterium. Its description in RNAcentral is "partial 16S ribosomal RNA". It matches the Rfam family "Bacterial small subunit ribosomal RNA", at positions 28 to 507 of the family's 1533-position model. The record is from RNAcentral.
GACGAACGCUGGCGGCGUGCCUAACACAUGCAAGUCGAACGGAAAGGUCCUGCUUUGGGGCGGUGCUCGAGUGGCGAACGGGGGAGUAACACGUGGGUACCCAGUCCCUGACCUAGGGAGAACUUAAGGAAACUUGGGCUCUUACCGGAUAGGAUCUCUUGCUUCAUGGUGGGGGUGGGUAAGAUUCGGCGGUUGGGGAUGGACUCGCGUAGUAUCAGGUUGUUGGUGGGGUAGUGUCUUACCAAGGCUUUGACACGUAGCCGUCCUGGGCGGGUCACCGGCCACGUUGGGACUGGGAUACGGCACAGCCUACUACGGGAGGCAGCAGUGGAGUAUGUUGCACAAUGGGCGGAAGCCUGAUGCAGCAACGCCGCGUGCCGGGUGACGGCCUUCGGGUAGUAAACCGAAUUCGCCUGUGACGAAGCGAGAGUGACGGUAAUGGGUAAAGAAGCACCGGCUAACUACGUG